RNAcentral lists this ribosomal RNA (744 nucleotides) under uncultured cyanobacterium. RNAcentral describes it as "bacterial SSU rRNA". It matches the Rfam family "Bacterial small subunit ribosomal RNA", at positions 55 to 841 of the family's 1533-position model. The record is from RNAcentral. Lineage: Bacteria; Bacillati; Cyanobacteriota.
AUGCAAGUCGAACGGGAAUCUUCGGAUUCUAGUGGCGGACGGGUGAGUAACGCGUAAGAAUCUAACUUCAGGACGGGGACAACAGUUGGAAACGACUGCUAAUACCCGAUGUGCCGAAAGGUGAAACCUAAUUGGCCUGAAGAAGAGCUUGCGUCUGAUUAGCUAGUUGGUGGGGUAAGAGCCUACCAAGGCGACGAUCAGUAGCUGGUCUGAGAGGAUGAGCAGCCACACUGGGACUGAGACACGGCCCAGACUCCUACGGGAGGCAGCAGUGGGGAAUUUUCCGCAAUGGGCGAAAGCCUGACGGAGCAACGCCGCGUGAGGGAGGAAGGUCUUUGGAUUGUAAACCUCUUUUCUCAAGGAAGAAGUUCUGACGGUACUUGAGGAAUCAGCCUCGGCUAACUCCGUGCCAGCAGCCGCGGUAAUACGGGGGAGGCAAGCGUUAUCCGGAAUUAUUGGGCGUAAAGCGUCCGCAGGUGGUCAGCCAAGUCUGCCGUCAAAUCAGGUUGCUUAACGACCUAAAGGCGGUGGAAACUGGCAGACUAGAGAGCAGUAGGGGUAGCAGGAAUUCCCAGUGUAGCGGUGAAAUGCGUAGAGAUUGGGAAGAACAUCGGUGGCGAAAGCGUGCUACUGGGCUGUAUCUGACACUCAGGGACGAAAGCUAGGGGAGCGAAAGGGAUUAGAUACCCCUGUAGUCCUAGCCGUAAACGAUGGAUACUAGGCGUGGCUUGUAUCGACCCGAGC